CAGAGUGUAGCUAAAUAGCUCAGCGCCUCAUUUACACCGAGAAGAAAUCUGUGCAAUUCAGAUCACUCUGA
RNAcentral lists this transfer RNA (71 nucleotides) under Amblypharyngodon chulabhornae. RNAcentral describes it as "tRNA-Val". It matches the Rfam family "tRNA". From Rfam's summary of the family: Transfer RNA (tRNA) molecules are approximately 80 nucleotides in length. Their secondary structure includes four short double-helical elements and three loops (D, anti-codon, and T loops). The record is from RNAcentral. Lineage: Eukaryota; Metazoa; Chordata; Actinopteri; Cypriniformes; Danionidae.